Molecule: ribosomal RNA, 119 nt
Filed under: Aegilops tauschii subsp. strangulata
Lineage: Eukaryota; Viridiplantae; Streptophyta; Magnoliopsida; Poales; Poaceae
Source: RNAcentral
GGAUGCGAUCAUACCAGCACUAAAGCACCGGAUCCCAUCAGAACUCCGAAGUUAAGCGUGCUUGGGCGAGAGUAGUACUUGGAUGGGUGACUUCCUGGGAAGUCCUCGUGUUGCAUUCC